RNAcentral lists this ribosomal RNA (434 nucleotides) under uncultured Clostridium sp. Its description in RNAcentral is "partial 16S ribosomal RNA". It matches the Rfam family "Bacterial small subunit ribosomal RNA", at positions 341 to 792 of the family's 1533-position model. Lineage: Bacteria; Bacillati; Bacillota; Clostridia; Eubacteriales; Clostridiaceae. The record is from RNAcentral.
ACGGGAGGCAGCAGUGGGGAAUAUUGCACAAUGGGGGAAACCCUGAUGCAGCGACGCCGCGUGAGUGAAGAAGUAUUUCGGUAUGUAAAGCUCUAUCAGCAGGGAAGAUAAUGACGGUACCUGACUAAGAAGCCCCGGCUAACUACGUGCCAGCAGCCGCGGUAAUACGUAGGGGGCAAGCGUUAUCCGGAUUUACUGGGUGUAAAGGGAGCGUAGACGGUAAGGCAAGUCUGAAGUGAAAUGCCAGGGCUCAACCCUGGAACUGCUUUGGAAACUGUCCUACUAGAGUGCAGGAGAGGUAAGUGGAAUUCCUAGUGUAGCGGUGAAAUGCGUAGAUAUUAGGAGGAACACCAGUGGCGAAGGCGGCUUACUGGACUGUAACUGACGUUGAGGCUCGAAAGCGUGGGGAGCAGACAGGAUUAGAUACCCUGGUA